Molecule: ribosomal RNA, 3384 nt
Filed under: Triticum aestivum (bread wheat)
Lineage: Eukaryota; Viridiplantae; Streptophyta; Magnoliopsida; Poales; Poaceae
Description: partial small subunit ribosomal RNA
Source: RNAcentral
AUGCAGAAGAGAAUCCAAGCUGAACGAAUGAAGCUGCGGGAGGUGACUGAAGACCGAGACGAGUUCAUCGAGGAGAUGGCUGACAAGAACAGGGAGAUUAGAACGCUCAAGAGGAUGAACAAGGUACCAGCAAUAACAAGGUCGAACAUGCAACAAUCCAUGUGGCUUAUGAGCAAGGUUGACGAGAAGGCAUCUGCUAUCAUAAUUGAUGCUAGGAGAGACUUACCUUUCGACGACGGAGACGUCGGGAUUGGCAAUGCAGAAAACAAGAUCACACCCAUAGUUACCAUAUUGAAGAUUGAGUAUGUUAGGACCAUGACAAAGGCCGAAGCAGACAAAUUCAAGGUUGCUUUUGCGAUUUGCACGAUGACUUUCCUCCUAGCCCCUCCGCUGAAGCAUAACUACUCCAUGACAAACUAUUGGAAUGGCCUGCACAUACCUGAUAUGAUUCAAAUGUUCAAUUGGGGAUGGUACAUUAGAGAAGAGCGCAUUUCCUCUGCUGGUAGGGUGAACUCUGAACUGUUAGGUGGGAAACUGAAGUCAAAUCUCACUGGAUGCACGUUCUUCUGGCAGGUUUUCUAUCCUGGCAACCCCGAACGAGAAGAUAAGAACCUCCCCCACGACGUGUUCCCUAGGUGCAAGGAAUACACACAAAAGACUAUCUCUGAUGUUAUUGAGGAAGACACGACAACUGGGAAAGAUGCAGAGAUUGUAGUGUAUGGACACCUACUGCCAAGGAAACCGGGGACAGUAUGCUACAGCCGUAACACAAUGGCCACAGCAACUCAGACAACAAUUGAUGGAUACGGGAUUGGGUGCAGCAAAGAUGGAAUUGGUGUUGAUAAAGACUUCAUAGAUAAAAUGCAGUUUGCAGAAUCUGAAGGUGCUCAAGAAGAAGCAAAUAAAGCAAUAGAUGACCUGAUUGAAGCAGCAGAUGAAUACAGCAGGGUGCAUAGUGGGAUUGUUGGCAAUGCGACAGGGCCGUUGGACGAUACUACAGGAAACAACUUGGCGAUGUCAGUGGUGUGUGGGGUGGCAAGAAAUGAAGUUAUAAGCUCUCCAAAAACAGCAUCAGGAACUGAUGAAGGUGAAGAGAACCAAAACGAUGGUUUUGAAGAUAAACAAUUGUCAAUCAUUCCAUCGGGCCAGGAUGCGGACUUAGGUGCAGGUGGAUCAAUUGAUCCUCCAGAGAUGCAUGGGAAGUUCAAAGUUGUAAUGUCAGGUCUUAGGAAGACGGACUUGAUGAAUGCAUUUACAGCUACUUCAGUGUCCAACGACUUGUCGGUUGCGUAUGCAAACAGCACGCCUGGUUCGCCAACAACCAAGGGGGAAACUCUCGAAGGUACAUCUUCAAGGCCUUCUCUAGUUAGCCUCCAUCGCCAGAUGUGUGCUGUCGAGCUCGACAUUAGGGAGGAGAUAGAGGAGGGAGCAAUCAACCUCAACGUCACUAUGUCACAGGGAUCGUUUAGCACACAGCCUCAGCCAAAGAGGGUGGUCAGGCCUGGGAAAUAUGCAAGCAUGUGGAUUAUAAGCACCAACCCAAAAUACAUGGACAUCAGUGGAGAACGGCUCCAUGAGAUGCUACGCGAUGGUGGUGAGGUGGAUAGCGUGUUGAUGACAUUGGUGAUGAGAAGGGAAGACACCAGGAUAUAUGCUACUCACUUUGGAAGGAAUUUGAUGGGAACUAAACUGAAAAGGGACAUGAACCCGGCAUACUUAGCUUUGUUAUUCCAUUUUUUCUGGCGCAUAGAAAUAAGAGUAUUGUCCAGACGUGCAUUGCAUGUGCACUUGGAAGCGGGCCCGUGGCCCGCGCUGGACGGCGCCGACACCGACCCGAGCCACCUCGUCCGCGUAUUCUUGGAGCUGUGGCUGGUCGAUUUACAUGAAAUUAAUUCCCUCAGUUCUGGUGAUGGCCGCAGAUCGUGGCUUCCGCCCGGACGUGAUGUGAAGGCAGGCUGCCUUGGAUCGAUUGGUGUACCACCACAGAGUGCCACGAUCCAAACAUAUAGAGAUAUAACGAACAACAAGGUUGGCACUGAUGUUCAGUGCAAGCAUCUAUCAUCCAAGUCUAAUUCUUGCAUAUUUGCAGGUCUGCAACCGCCGCCGCCGCCGCCGCCGCCGCCUUGGCCGCCUGGACAACCAGGCACGAUCUGUGGUGAUCUCGCACGAAAGUGGACUGGUAUCCACUCUCGCGGGGCGGAAAGCCGCAGGGGAUGCAGCUCCAGUGCUGCAUCCCCUGGGGCAGAGGGACUCCCGACAUCUGUCCUGGUUCUUGCGCGCUCUCCGACGAGCCGCGUCCUGGUUCUUGCGCCCUCUCGGACUAGCCGCGUCUUGGUUCUUGCGCCCUCUCCGACGAGCCGCGCGCUGGUUCUUGCGCGCGCCCCGACGAGCCGCGCCCUGGUUCUUGCGCGCUCUCCGACGAGCCGCGCCCUGGUUCUUGCGCGCUCCCCGACGAGCCCCGAGCGUAGUCUCCGGUCCGGCCGCUACGGCUCUCUCGCGCUGCGCGUAGACUCUGAUCUUCCUCCUCUGUCUCUGUCUCUCGUCAAGCCCUGCUCUCGAACUAAGGAAGACGAUGCUAUGGCGCAAGAAGACCGCCACAAGAGCGACCCGCCAACACCUCCCCUGAUAGCGUCGGCAAUAACUGCCCCAAGGAUGCCCGCCGAUGGCGUUGCUGCCGUCCCCCUCGAGGUGUUAGACGGAAUGGCCUUGAGCGUUGGUUUGCAUGAUGCGACAGCCGACUUCGUGCAAAUAUUGGACGACAACACCGUCGACAUCGAUCAAGCCCCGAUCGGUGAUUACGGUUACAAUGAGAUGGAUGGUGGCGUGCAGGAGGUUGAUGAGGGGAUGCUCGACGAAGCGCAAGCAAAGUCACGCGCAAGAUCGAGGAACUACACACCAUUGGAAGAUAAAGUCUUGAUCAAGGCUCUGGAAUCGGUGUCUCUUGAUCCGUGCACCGGCACCGACCAAACCGCCAAGUGGUAUUGGCAAAGGAUCGAGGAUCAAUACUUCCGCAUGAUGGCAAAUUAUCCCAACCGGAUGCCACACACCUUUCGGUCUCUUCAAGAAAGCGAGAAGUGGAAGUUGAUUGACAAGGAAUCCCCACCGAAGAGAGGUGCACUCACCAAGAUUGAUGAUGAUGAAGAUGAUGAUGGCCAAAGAAAUAAGAACAAGCCCGAUGGAAACAAGAAGGCCAAGGACAAGAUCAAGAAGGAAGCGGAGGCUUCAAACUUGCGGGACAAGCUAGAUCACAUGGUCAAGUUCAAUGAGCUUUUGGUGAUCAAGACAUUGGAGGCAAAAAAAGGAGUUGACCGAGAAGAAGGCUCAAGAGAAGCAAGAGAAAUGGCAACUUCUAAAGGAGGAGACCAUGCGCAAGGCUGUCAUUGA